AACCUUAUGGACCUGCGGGCGUAUACCUGCGGAAGGAUCAUUACAUGGCGGAGAAGGUGGGCACCUGGCCAAAAAAAACUCCAGGUUGUCAUGCCUUCACGCUCUUCCACCCUUGUCUAUUUGUACCUUUUGUCGUUCCCUCGGCGGGUUUCGACCCGCCGGCGGUAACCAUUGAAAACCCUUUUUGCAGUUUAGCAUCCAAUUCUUCUGAUCAAAUAUCAAAUCGUUACAACUUUCAAC
This 240-nucleotide unclassified non-coding RNA is filed under the name soil metagenome. RNAcentral describes it as "partial contains 5.8S ribosomal RNA, internal transcribed spacer 2, and large subunit ribosomal RNA". The record is from RNAcentral.